UAGGAGACGUGGGGAGGACGAGACAGAGAAUGAAGAGGAUGAAUUCAAAAGAUCUGGACAGGAAUUGGGACAGAUUAGUAUUCACUACAACCAUGCUUGCAGGUGGAGGGCGUAGGGAGAGUAUUCAUUCAGAACUCAUUCACUUUAAGGAGGAGAGCGCCACCUACUGGCAAAGAGCGAUUACUUAAAAAUGUUUUAAGUCGUCAGCAACUAUGGCAGGAGAUAUAUAUAUCUUUGUUUCUUUUCAACCGAUACUAUCAUACUCAAAAAGGGUUUUGAAGGUGUUGCUGUCAUCAUAUGGUUAUUAAGAAUGCACUAUUAACAAUGUGCAAUAGGGGCUGGGGAUGUGGCUCAAGCGGUAGCGCGCUCGCCUGGCAUGCAUGCGGCCCGGGUUCAAUCCUCAGCACCACAUACAAACAAAGAUGUUGUGUCUGCCGAAAACUAAAAAAAUACAUAAAAAAAAAUUCUCUCUCUCUCUCUCUCUCUCUCUCUCUCUCUCUCUCUCUCUCUCUCUCUCUCUCAUGUGGCUAGUGAUCCUCAUGUAUAAAAACAAUAAGGGUGGGGCACAAAGAGCAAAAGUUACCAGAGGGAUGAUAUGACCAAAAGGAAAAGAAUAGUAUGCUGUGGGCGUCUGUGACACAUAUUCUCAGAUAAGUGACAACCUCUGGAGGCAAGUGUACUCAGAACACAGGAUGAGGGCAGGUGCACUUCAAAAUCAAAAU
This 722-nucleotide long non-coding RNA is filed under the name Marmota monax (woodchuck). The record is from RNAcentral. Lineage: Eukaryota; Metazoa; Chordata; Mammalia; Rodentia; Sciuridae.